GGAUUUCAUAGGGAGGCCCUCUGAUCAGCUUGAAUCCUAUUGGCCAAGGUGUGGCCAAUAGGAUGUCCGCAAUCAUGCAGCCAUGAUUGUCCGCAAUCAGCCACCAUGGUAGACCUCCAUUUUGUUCUUACGGUUUCCUCCUCUUACCAGUGUUCCUGCUACGUAAGAUGGGAACACUUGGGCUUCAAGUUCACUGAAGCAGGUGCACCUGCUUUUCCCUUCCUAAUCCAUGUAGUGGCUUCACUGGAAAUUAACGAAGAACUAAAUAUGAGCUGCAAAUAAAAGCGGAAAACUUCGGAAAGAGAGGCUUCCAUCUCUUCGGGAGGCAAGCCUCAUGCAAAAAGGCUGCGUUUUCUCUAGUGGAACAUCAGCAUCAUCAUUUUGUCACUUUUCUCAUCACCCUAUGGAGACAGCCACAGAAAUACAGAAAGCCACUGAAGAAUUUAAGCAGGAGGAGGACUUGAUGUAAUUUGAAUUCCAAAAAGCUCAUUCUGCCAUACAGCAAACGGAGAUCUCACAAUUUGCAUGGACAGCCUGUCACUGUGGGAUGAGCAGCUGUCUUCCAGCAAGCCCUUCCAGCAUGCCAUUUCUGCCUUGGAGCCAGUCAACUUUAAACUGAACCCACUGGAAACUGAAAUGAGGAACAUGGAAGAUAUUUUCUGCUGAAUCUGUGGGGCUACAACACACACUGCCAGCAGGGCCAUGUGAUCACGCUGGCACUAUGAUUCUGGUUGGUGUUCAAGGUUGUAUUAAUUCUUUGCCCAGGGCUUCCUUCUGCCGGAAAGAGGCCACCAGCUGCUGAAGAGCCAGAGAAGGAUAACGUAGUCUGUUCCUUGAUGCUUCAGAGCCAUUAAACAUUUACGACAGAACAUUGCCCUUUAAUUCAGCUCCAAGUCAUCUGCCUGCCUCAACUAAGUAGAGUGGGAAAUUAUGAAUGAUGGCCCUCUCCUUACCACCAGUGCCUCUCCACAGUCAGUACCCAUGAGGCCCACUCAACAAGGGCAUCAUCUUUCCAAGCUGACAGCGCUGGGACAAUGACACUUGUGGUAAAUUAAGCGGAAUGGUGAUGAAAAAUGGAGUGUGGUCACAAUCUAGCAGUACUAGCAGUUGGCGGAGUCUACUGUGGCCCUUGACAGAUGCAUUCUCUUUUAGAUCUCUCCGUGGUAUUUGAGUACUGGAUCAUCUAUUAUCCUGCAUGUUAUG
Non-coding RNA from Heterocephalus glaber (naked mole-rat), 1203 nucleotides. The record is from RefSeq and is a predicted model, not a curated record. NCBI's taxonomy places the organism in Eukaryota, Metazoa, Chordata, Mammalia, Rodentia, Bathyergidae.